GUGGCGGAGGGCAGCUAAUGGCGAUCAGUGCUGGAGGACCUGCUGGGGAAGGACAUCCCUCGUGGGGUUGAGACGUCCGUCUCCGAGAUGUGAAGGCUGCAGAGGACCCACCAGGAUCCCCUUGGAGGACAGCAAUGGGACUGCUUGAGGUCUUUGGAAGCACUUCAGUUCAGAAUGCCUUCCAAAGAAUGAAGCCC
Molecule: long non-coding RNA, 197 nt
Organism: Gadus morhua (Atlantic cod)
Lineage: Eukaryota; Metazoa; Chordata; Actinopteri; Gadiformes; Gadidae
Exons: 3
Source: RefSeq, a predicted model, not a curated record